CAAUAGCGUAUAUUUAAGUUGCUGCAGUUAAAAAGCUCGUAGUUGGAUUUCGGGUGGGAAUGGCCGGUCCGCCGUUUCGGUGUGCACUUGCUACGCCCACCUUGCUGCCGGGGACGUGCUCUUGAGUUCACGCUCGGGACACGGAGUCGGCGAGGUUACUUUGAGUAAAUUAGAGUGUUCAAAGCAGGCCUACGCUCUGAAUACAUUAGCAUGGAAUAACACGAUAGGACUCUGGCCUAUCUUGUUGGUCUGUAGGACCGGAGUAAUGAUUAAGAGGGACAGUCGGGGGCAUUCGUAUUUCAUCGUCAGAGGUGAAAUUCUUGGAUUUGUUAAAGACGGACUACUGCGAAAGCAUUUGCCAAGGAUGUUUUCAUUGA
RNAcentral lists this ribosomal RNA (377 nucleotides) under uncultured eukaryote. RNAcentral describes it as "partial 18S ribosomal RNA". It matches the Rfam family "Eukaryotic small subunit ribosomal RNA", at positions 592 to 976 of the family's 1831-position model. The record is from RNAcentral.